RNAcentral lists this ribosomal RNA (468 nucleotides) under uncultured bacterium. RNAcentral describes it as "bacterial SSU rRNA". It matches the Rfam family "Bacterial small subunit ribosomal RNA", at positions 332 to 793 of the family's 1533-position model. The record is from RNAcentral.
CGCACUCCUACGGGAGGCAGCAGUGGGGAAUAUUGCACAAUGGGCGCAAGCCUGAUGCAGCCAUGCCGCGUGUAUGAAGAAGGCCUUCGGGUUGUAAAGUACUUUCAGCAGUGAGGAAGGUGGGUAUGUUAAUAGCAUAUUCAUUUGACGUUAGCUGCAGAAGAAGCACCGGCUAACUCCGUGCCAGCAGCCGCGGUAAUACGGAGGGUGCGAGCGUUAAUCGGAAUUACUGGGCGUAAAGCGCAUGCAGGUGGUUUGUUAAGUCAGAUGUGAAAGCCCGGGGCUCAACCUCGGAAUUGCAUUUGAAACUGGCAAACUAGAGUACUGUAGAGGGGGUAGAAUUUCAGGUGUAGCGGUGAAAUGCGUAGAGAUCUGAAGGAAUACCGGUGGCGAAGGCGGCCCCCUGGACAGAUACUGACACUCAGAUGCGAAAGCGUGGGGAGCAAACAGGAUUAGAUACCCUUGUAG